Molecule: transfer RNA, 75 nt
Filed under: Capsulimonas corticalis
Lineage: Bacteria; Bacillati; Armatimonadota; Armatimonadia; Capsulimonadales; Capsulimonadaceae
Also listed under: 1 other name
Description: tRNA-Val
Rfam family: tRNA
About the family: Transfer RNA (tRNA) molecules are approximately 80 nucleotides in length. Their secondary structure includes four short double-helical elements and three loops (D, anti-codon, and T loops). Further hydrogen bonds mediate the characteristic L-shaped molecular structure. tRNAs have two regions of fundamental functional importance: the anti-codon, which is responsible for specific mRNA codon recognition, and the 3' end, to which the tRNAs corresponding amino acid is attached (by aminoacyl-tRNA synthetases). tRNAs cope with the degeneracy of the genetic code in two manners: having more than one tRNA (with a specific anti-codon) for a particular amino acid; and 'wobble' base-pairing, i.e. permitting non-standard base-pairing at the 3rd anti-codon position.
Source: RNAcentral
GGGCGGUUGGCGCAGUGGUAGCGCACUUCGUUGACAUCGAAGGGGUCACAAGUUCGAAUCUUGUACCGCCCACCA